Molecule: ribosomal RNA, 207 nt
Filed under: uncultured bacterium
Lineage: Bacteria
Description: partial 16S ribosomal RNA
Rfam family: Bacterial small subunit ribosomal RNA
Source: RNAcentral
AGCGCAGGCGGUUUGGUCAGUCUAAAGUGGAAGCCCGGGGCUCAACCCCGGAAGGUCUUUGGAUACUACCAAACUAGAGUACGUGAGAGGAGAGCGGAAUUCCAGGUGUAGCGGUGAAAUGCGUAGAUAUCUGGAGGAACACCGGUGGCGAAAGCGGCUCUCUGGCACGAAACUGACGCUGAGGCUCGAAAGCGUGGGGAGCGAACG